RNAcentral lists this small nuclear RNA (123 nucleotides) under Trifolium pratense (red clover). RNAcentral describes it as "snRNA U2". It matches the Rfam family "U2 spliceosomal RNA". From Rfam's summary of the family: U2 is a small nuclear RNA (snRNA) component of the spliceosome (involved in pre-mRNA splicing). Complementary binding between U2 snRNA (in an area lying towards the 5' end but 3' to hairpin I) and the branchpoint sequence (BPS) of the intron results the bulging out of an unpaired adenosine, on the BPS, which initiates a nucleophilic attack at the intronic 5' splice site, thus starting the first of two transesterification reactions that mediate splicing. The record is from RNAcentral. Lineage: Eukaryota; Viridiplantae; Streptophyta; Magnoliopsida; Fabales; Fabaceae.
AUACCUUUCUCGGCCUUUUGGCUAAGAUCAAGUGUAGUAUCUGUUCUUAUCAGUUUAAUAUCUGAUAUGUGGUCCAUUGGAUCACACGAUAUUAAAUUACUUUUUUGAGGGGUAGGAGCCACU